GUGUGUAACAACUCACCUGCCGAAUGAACUAGCCCUGAAAAUGGAUGACGCUCAAGCGAUUAACCGAUAUCAAACCAUUUACAAAGUAAUUGUGAAUGUGUAGGAGGGCGUGAAUAUGACGUAGAAGGUUUACGUGUGAACGUGACUGGAGUCGUAUUUAGUGCAGAUCUUGGUGGUAGUAGCAA
This 185-nucleotide ribosomal RNA is filed under the name Dermatophagoides farinae (American house dust mite). Its description in RNAcentral is "partial 28S ribosomal RNA". It matches the Rfam family "Eukaryotic large subunit ribosomal RNA", at positions 1278 to 1466 of the family's 3401-position model. The record is from RNAcentral. Lineage: Eukaryota; Metazoa; Arthropoda; Arachnida; Sarcoptiformes; Pyroglyphidae.